Molecule: ribosomal RNA, 274 nt
Filed under: uncultured bacterium
Lineage: Bacteria
Description: partial 16S ribosomal RNA
Rfam family: Archaeal small subunit ribosomal RNA
Source: RNAcentral
AACCCAGCACCUCAAGUGGUCAGGAGGAUUAUUGGGCCUAAAGCAUCCGUAGCCUGUUCUGUAAGUUUUCGGUUAAAUCCAUUAGCUCAACUAAUGGGCUGCCGAAAAUACUGUAGAACUAGGGAGUGGGAGAGGUAGACGGUAUUCGGUAGGAAGGGGUAAAAUCCUUUGAUCUAUUGAGGACCACCUGUGGCGAAGGCGGUCUACCAGAACACGUUCGACGGUGAGGGAUGAAAGCUGGGGGAGCAAACCGGAUUAGAAACCCGAGUAGUCC